CGUGGCGGCCGCGCUGGCGGGAGGCAGGUGCGCGGCGCUCCGCACCCGGGGCAGUGACAUCACGCCGCCGCCCUGUGCCCGGGGCCCGGAGACAAAGGCGAGCGGCAGCCGCAGCGCGAGGAUGCUGCAGCGCGUUCCCAGGAGCCGCAGCGCCGCCGCCGCCGCCGCCCCACGGCGCUGAGCAGCCCCCGGGCUGGUCGGGCCGGGCAGGGCCGGGCCCCCUCCCAUGCGGUCGAGCCGGAGCCGGAGCCGGGGCCGUGCCCGGGGCAGCCGAAGGCGGCGCGCAGUAUGCCCUGGGGGGUCGGCCUGGCCUCCUCCCGGUGCUGCGUGGUGGGGCUGAGCCGCAACCAGAGCCUGUCCCUCGGCCUGUGCGCGGGAGCCGACGAGCCCGACGCCUUUUAUGGGGAAAUCAUCGCCUUCCCUUUGCAGGACUACGGCGGGAUCAUGGCCGGGCUGGGCUCCGACUCGUGGUGGAAGAAGACGCUGUACCUGACCGGCGGGGCCCUGCUGGCCGCCGCCGCCUACCUGCUGCACGAGCUGCUGGCCAUCAGGAAAGAGCAAGAGGUUGAUUCAAAAGAUGCCAUUAUACUGCAUCAAUUCUCAAGGCCCAAUAACGGUGUUCCAAGUUUAUCUCCUUUCUGUUUGAAAAUGGAAACUUAUUUAAGGAUGGCUGAUUUGCCCUACCAGAACUAUUUUGAUGGAAAACUUUCCCCUCAAGGGAAAAUGCCCUGGAUUGAAUACAACCACAAAAAAGUAUCUGGCAGUGAGUUCAUUAUUGACUUCUUGGAAGAGAAACUUGGAGUGAAUUUAAAUAAAAACCUUGGUCCACAUGAAAGAGCUGUUUCUAGAGCAGUGACAAAAAUGGUGGAGGAGCACUUCUAUUGGACACUGGUGUAUUGUCAGUGGGUGGACAAUCUCCAUGAGACUCAGAAGAUGCUUUCAUUUACUGGCCCCUUCAGUGACCUGUUGAAGUGGAUUUUGUGCCAUCUAACAAAAGGAAUUGUGAAACGAGAAAUGUAUGGCCAUGGUAUUGGCCGCUUCUCUGAGGAAGAGAUAUACAAGCUGAUGGAGAAAGACAUGCGGUCUCUAGCAGGCCUUUUGGGUGACAAGAAGUACAUCAUGGGACCAAAGCUUUCCACUGUUGAUGCCACUGUCUUUGGUCAUCUAGCACAAGCAAUGUGGACAUUGCCAGGCACAAGGCCUGAGAGACUAAUCAAAGGUGAACUCAUUAAUCUUGCUAUGUACUGUGAAAGGAUAAGAAGGAAAUUCUGGCCCGAGUGGCACCAUGAUGAUGAUAAUACCCUGUAUGAAUCUGAGGAAAGUAGUGAAAUGAGCAAGGCUCAGACUCCAUUGCAGGACUUCAGCUUUUACUCAAGGACAGAAACAUUUGAUGAGGAAGGCACAGAGAACAGUAUUUCCCAUACCCCCGACACGGAUUACACUGGUCACUCUCUCUUUGAUUCUGACGUGGACAUGGAUGACUACAGAGAUCAUGAACAAUGCAAGUGAGACAUACAGAUGCCUCCCCUUUUCUAUCAGAAAUGCCACCUCUUGGGAUGGUUUGAUCUUUCCCGAGGUUCUGAAGAGGUUAAUGCCAGUUUGGAAGAAAUCAUUGUGCUUGACAUGGGUGUCACAUGCUACCUGGACAAUGUCCUCCUUAUUUCAUUUUGUAAAACCAUUUAGAUGGAACUAAGGUAAACAAUUAAAAAAAUAUAGGCCAACAAGAGGUCCAGAGCAUCACAGGAUUUUUAGAGCUACAGUGUGCUCUCACCAAAAAAAUAAAACAGAUUUCAGAAUCAUGUGAGCAGACUCUGCAGCAGGUGGAAGAGACCCUGCAGCAGGUGGAGAGAGUUUGUGAGAGCUGGUUUGUGUUCAAGGUCCUGUCUUCAUGCAUAAAAGUUGAAGAUGGAAAGGGAAGAGAGGUUACAGGAAUUCCUCUCUCUCUCCGUGGCUGAUGAGAUAUAUGGAGUUGAAAGCUGUCAGAGAGCAUCUUUUUCCCCACUGUUGUUUUUCUCCUGUUCUGCCCCCUGGUUUAAUAUCCUUUCCCUGACGCCUGCAAGUGACUUUUCCAUGGCUGAUGAAGCUUGGCUGAGACUGGAGCCUCUCAGCUGUGCUCCUGGACUGGCCAGAGGACACGUUGCAGAGUGACAUUAAGAAUGGGUCUAAGGGCCUUCAACUCCCGAUGAAAAUACUUGAUUCUGAAGGACUGCCUGCGCCGUGAUCAGGGUCUGUACAGACUCACAGUGUUUGACCUGGUCAUCAGAGCUGGGUCUCUGGGUCUGUGAGGGAAAAUGCUGAAACUGGGGCCACCAGUUAAUUCAAGGAGUAUAAUUAGUAGUUUGGAUUAAUCAUUUGUUCAUCAGUAUCAGUCUUUAUGAACUUGAUUCUAGCACAGACUUCAUCCCAAUCCAUGCAUGUACAUGUAUUCCCUUCUCUGUACAGAAAAAGGACCCAGGUGCCUCUUCUGCUCUACCCAGUCCCCCUCUGUCUGGUAGGCUCCUCACGCAGUAUGGGAUUACAUAGGAAGAUGAGAUAGCUUUAAAUGGACAAAGGAUGUUUCCUAGUAAAGGUUUCCUUCCCUCAUUUUGUAAUGGAAGGAAACAGUCUGAACCUCUGAUCUUAGUCUGGUGGUAUGUGAAUAUAACUCCACUGACUGCUGGAGCCACUACUGUCCCAAGUAAGAAAAAUAGAUUCUGGCUCAUUGUUGCUGAGAGUCAGAAUAUUUUUCCUUUUCAUUCUGUUCCUUUUUAAUAUAACAGUACCAAUUUUCUAAUUCUUGGUUUUGCAAAAGUCUCUUAGCAGAAUAAAUACAUAUUUCUAACCUCCCUUUUCCAUUUGGCAAAUGUCAACUUUGAUCCUUCAGUUUGAAUAAUGUUGAAAUGUUUGGGUUUUGUUGCUAUUGCAAUGUCAUAUUGUAGAGCUUGGUUUCAUGUCAGAGUGGAUUUGUUUGUAAACAGUAGCAUCAUCAGCUGGGGCUACCAAGCUCCUUGCUUCUGAGUAAAGUCAGCAGAGAAAACAUACUUCUGGUUUUAUAGGUCUUACAAAAAAAUCACAUAAAUGUGAUUUAUUUAAAAGCCAAAUCAAGCUUGAUGUUUCAAAUCUGGGGGACUGUCCCCAUCCAAUUAUAACACUGUAAGUCCCACAGUUUGAUCUUCAAAUCCUUGACAGUGUCCCUUCAAAUCCAUUUUCUUUUUGAAGAAUAUUGCCUGAAAUAUUUUGCAGCAACAGUCUAGGCACAAAUUUCCUUUUGUCAGUGAUGUCUGCUCAAGUAAUCAUGACAGUUUCAUGCUGCUUCCAUUGAAAGGGUUUUAUCUGUCAAGUAUUAAGAAGCCUUGCAACAUAUUGCCUGCUGGAAAAGUGUGUUAUGUGCAAAGAUUUAUGCAGGGUUGUUCACCAAGCAAAAUUUCUGUGGGAGGGGAUGAAUUCAAGUGGAUCUUGACCUUAGAUGCUGGAAUAAUAACACAAGACCUUUAUCUUUAGAUACUCUAGCUACACUCUGUGCAAGAGAAAAAAAAUACCUGUAUAUCUGUGCAAAAAUUGUGGAUUUGCAUCUGGGUACCAUGUGGGCUAUACUUUGUAUAAAGCAAGUUAGGCUCAUAGAGGAUCAGAAAGCAAAUUAUUUUUGUUAAUUGCAAAAUCAUGUUACACACCAUGAUGCCUGAGAGGUGGAAACAAGUGUAUAUAGUACGGUAGCACGUUGCACAAAUACAGUUUUGGGGAAUGUCAAAGUAGCAUAAUCCAGGCAUUGGCAACAUAUGGCCUGCAGGCUGCAUCCAUCCUGCUGAGCCAUUGGAUCUGGACUGUGGAGCUGCAGGGCUUUGCCUGUGCCCACACCAGGGCCAGGAUGCAGGGAGGUGUCCCAGGGCUAGGCAGCUGUGCCCAUGUCAUUGCUGCCUCUCCCCACCCUCCCAGCUCCAUUCUGACAUGGUCUGAGUGGUUCCCAUGGCAUAUCAGCAGUGGGAGGCUUUGCCUGCAGCUGGGCUAGGCAGCUGGAAGCUGCGCCUACACACUGCUGCUCCCAGCCCCCCUGCUUCCUGGCUGCAGUGCAGGAGCAUCUCCCAGACCGUGGGGAGCUGCUUUGGGACUGUGGGUGCAGCUGUGCCUGCAUUACAGCCUAGGGGGAAGGCGGGGGGAGAGAAGUGGAACCAUCACAGAUGCAGUUUGCAGCUACCUAGUCCCAGUGCAACCCCCCACUGACUGGAAGCUGCACCCACAGUGUAGCCAGGGGAGCAGGUACUGGGAGAAGUGGCAGCAUGGGGUGUGGGGAAAGCAUCCCAUUGCUGAUGUGCUACCAAAGCUGCCUGAUGUGCAGUGGAGCAAGGCUGGGUUGUUCCGGCCUGUGGCUUGUAAAAGAUUACAGGCCCCCAGUACAAUGUGAUUUUCCACACCUUCUCAAAGAUGAUUGAGCAGACCCUUCUAAGGAUCUGGUUACAGAAUGUAUAGUUUUCAGUAGCUUAGUAGUACCAUAAGUGUCAGAGAUUUUUUAGAGCCACAUAGGUGUUAACUAGUAUGCAAGACAGUCAGUCCUUAGGCUAUUCUACUCUGCUUGUACUAGAGAAUAGUCUGUGUGCCUGUAAAUGAAUGUUAGUACUGGUAGGAGCCUUUUUGAACUGGACUUGUUUUGGCCGCAUUGCAGCGGCUUCAGUUUUACACUUCUUAGUGAACAUGAUCCAGUGAGGUACCUUCAAAUCCCAUUGAAACCAAUAGCAGCUGGAGGCAUUCAUUACCUCUCCAUGCCUGACAGGAUCAGGCCCAUUAGUGUGGACUAUGAAGGGAACCUGAUUUUUAAACUACUAACUCUGGUCUUCACUUCUUUGCCUUAGUGGAGAAAAGUACACAACAUUAAUCAGCUUGGACUCAGCAGUUUUAAGGAAUCCUUUCUUUGAUGGUCAUCGUGGAGGGCUUCGCUUUCAUUCCUUUCCUGUACUCAGUAAUGUAAAGUAUGUCUUAUCAGCAGAGAAUUUGCAGUUCCUUGAUUCAGUGUUUAGAAAAGAACUGAAGUAUGUGUGUACAGCACAGGGAUCUUUAUAUAUAAAAUACUUCAUGUGAAAUCUAUAAGGCUAAAUCUUUACAGCCAAAUCCUGUUUGCCUUAGUCAUGUGCUUUAAGACCAGAAAAGACAGAUGUGAUAAUUUAUUCUGACCUCAUGCUGACACACAGCAUAGAAUUUCACUCUAAUUUCCAGACUGAGUCCACUAACUUGAGGUUGAAUUAAAGCAUAUGCUUCAGAAAGAAAGAAAGAAAGUCUGUCUUUCAGUAAUGUGCCUCUAUUGAGAUCAGUGGUAAGGCUUCCAUUAACUUCACUGAGGCCAAGUUUUCACCCAAAGGUUCUGAGUAAGGAAGAAUGUACUAUAACUCAUAUUAAACUGUCCUAUGGGUAAUUACCCUCCACUUAAAACUUAAUUCAAUGUGACUAUUCACUU
Molecule: RNA transcript, 5422 nt
Organism: Alligator mississippiensis (American alligator)
Lineage: Eukaryota; Metazoa; Chordata; Crocodylia; Alligatoridae
Gene: FAXC
Gene name: failed axon connections homolog, metaxin like GST domain containing
Exons: 7
Source: RefSeq, a predicted model, not a curated record